CCUGCUGUGCGACCAGCGGUAGCCUAAGAAGACAUGCGUCACUGGUAACGGUGGGGUGUGAAGCUCUUCUGACAAUGUAGCCCUCGGAUGUUUCGGGCAGAUCGAUUCCGCGAGGAGCGAUCUGGAUACUCCCAGCAGCAAGGGGGUUGAGGAG
Molecule: non-coding RNA, 154 nt
Filed under: Paraburkholderia sp. RAU2J
Lineage: Bacteria; Pseudomonadati; Pseudomonadota; Betaproteobacteria; Burkholderiales; Burkholderiaceae
Source: RNAcentral